CAGUCGCCACGGGAAUACGAGGGGGGCAAGCGUUGUUCGGAAUUAUUGGGCGUAAAGGGCGCGUAGGCGGUUUGGCAAGUUUGGUGUGAAAUCUUCGGGCUCAACUCGAAGUCUGCAUCGAAAACUGCCGGGCUUGAGUAUGGGAGAGGUGAGUGGAAUUUCCGGUGUAGCGGUGAAAUGCGUAGAUAUCGGAAGGAACACCUGUGGCGAAAGCGGCUCACUGGACCAUUACUGACGCUGAGGCGCGAAAGCUAGGGGAGCAAACAGGAUUAGAUACCCCCGUAGUCCCUGUCUCUUAUAC
This 301-nucleotide ribosomal RNA is filed under the name uncultured bacterium. Its description in RNAcentral is "partial 16S ribosomal RNA". It matches the Rfam family "Bacterial small subunit ribosomal RNA", at positions 509 to 807 of the family's 1533-position model. The record is from RNAcentral.